This 178-nucleotide small RNA is filed under the name Dromaius novaehollandiae (emu). Its description in RNAcentral is "TUC338 (ENSDNVG00000002736.1)". The record is from RNAcentral. Lineage: Eukaryota; Metazoa; Chordata; Aves; Casuariiformes; Dromaiidae.
GCAGGAGCCCUAGAWACUGGAGUCCUUUGUUCGCAAGCCAUACGCAGUGCAGCAAACAGCAAUAGCAGCAAUCCGUUUCCCUGUGAAUUGCAAACAAGCUUAACCCUGAGCUGGAAAGACCGUUCUCUGGAGAGGUGAAAGGAAAUUCAAUAUCUGAGCUAAGUGUGUUCUGACUUCC